UUCCCCUAGUAACUGCGAGUGAAGCGGGAAAAGCUCAAAUUUAAAAUCUGGUAGCCUUUGGUUGCCCGAGUUGUAAUCUAGAGAAGCACUAUCCGCGCUGGACCGUGUCUAAGUCUCCUGGAAUGGAGCGUCAUAGAGGGUGAGAAUCCCGUCUUUAACACGGACUACCAGGGCUUUGUGAUACGCUCUCAAAGAGUCGAGUUGUUUGGGAAUGCAGCUCUAAAUGGGUGGUAAAUUCCAUCUAAAGCUAAAUAUUGGCGAGAGACCGAUAGCGAACAAGUACCGUGAGGGAAAGAUGAAAAGAACUUUGGAAAGAGAGUUAAAUAGUACGUGAAAUUGUUGAAAGGGAAACGCUUGAAGUCAGUCGCGUUGUCCAGGGAUCAACCUUGCUUUUGCUUGGUGUACUUUCUGGUUAACGGGUCAGCAUCAAUUUUGACCAGUGGAAAAAGAUUAAGGGAAUGUGGCAUCCUCGGAUGUGUUAUAGCCUUUGUUCGUAUGCAUUGGUUGGGAUUGAGGAACUCAGCACGCCGCAAGGCCGGGUUUUUAACCACGUUCGUGCUUAGGAUGCUGGCAUAAUGGCUUUAAUCGACCCGUCUUGAAACACGGACCAAGGAGUCUAACAUGCCUGCGAGUAUUUGGGUGGAAAACCCAAGUGCGUAAUGAAAGUGAAAGUUGGGAUCUCUGUCGUGGAGAGCACCGACGCCCGGACCAGACCUUUUGUGACGGAUCCGCGGUAGAG
RNAcentral lists this ribosomal RNA (739 nucleotides) under Entoloma sublaevisporum. Its description in RNAcentral is "eukaryotic LSU rRNA". It matches the Rfam family "Eukaryotic large subunit ribosomal RNA", at positions 75 to 800 of the family's 3401-position model. The record is from RNAcentral. Lineage: Eukaryota; Fungi; Basidiomycota; Agaricomycetes; Agaricales; Entolomataceae.